GAUGAACGCUGGCGGCGUGCCUAAUACAUGCAAGUCGAGCGAACGGACGAGAAGCUUGCUUCUCUGAUGUUAGCGGCGGACGGGUGAGUAACACGUGGAUAACCUACCUAUAAGACUGGGAUAACUUCGGGAAACCGGAGCUAAUACCGGAUAAUAUUUUGAACCGCAUGGUUCAACAGUGAAAGACGGUCUUGCUGUCACUUAUAGAUGGAUCCGCGCUGCAUUAGCUAGUUGGUAAGGUAACGGCUUACCAAGGCAACGAUGCAUAGCCGACCUGAGAGGUUGAUCGGCCACACUGGAACUGAGACACGGUCCAGACUCCUACGGGAGGCAGCAGUAGGGAAUCUUCCGCAAUGGGCGAAAGCCUGACGGAGCAAUGCCGCGUGAGUGAUGAAGGUCUUCGGAUCGUAAAACUCUGUUAUUAGGGAAGAACAUAUGUGUAAGUAACUGUGCACAUCUUGACGUUACCUAAUCAGAAAGCCACGGCUAACUACGUG
RNAcentral lists this ribosomal RNA (497 nucleotides) under uncultured bacterium. RNAcentral describes it as "partial 16S ribosomal RNA". It matches the Rfam family "Bacterial small subunit ribosomal RNA", at positions 28 to 507 of the family's 1533-position model. The record is from RNAcentral.